AAAGCUCGUAGUUGACUUUGGGUUGGGCUGGGUGGUGCCUCCCCCGGUUUGUGGGGGGGUGACUGCUGACAGUUUGAUCCUUCCUUUUGGUGGCUGAUCAUGUCCUUGAGUGGGCGUGGUUGUGCGACCAAAACUUUUACUGUGAAAAAAUUAGAGUGCUCAAGGCAGGCUACAACCGCUUGAAUACAUUAGCAUGGAAUAAUAGAAUAGGACUUUUGGUUCUAUUUUGUUGGUUUCUAGGACCGAGGUAAUGAUUAAUAGGGAUAGUUGGGGGCAUUAGUAUUUCAAUGUCAGAGGUGAAAUUCUUGGAUUUUUGAAAGACUAACUACUGCGAAAGCAUUUGCCAAGGAUGUUUUCAUUAAUCAAGAACGAAAGUUAGGGGAUCGAAGACGAUUAGAUACCGUCGUAGUCUUAACCAUAAACUAUGCCGACUAGGGAUCGGGCGUUGUUGCCAGUCUAGGCUGCAUUGCGGCCUAGUUCAACAUGCCCGGCACCUUGCGUGAAAACCAAAGUUUUUGGGUUCUGGGGGGGAGUAUGGUCGCAAGGCUGAAACUUAAAAGAAUUGACGGAAGGGCACCACAAUGGCGUGGAGCCUGCGGCUUAAUUUGACUCAACACGGGGAAACUCACCAGGUCCAGACAUAGUGAGGAUUGACAGAUUGAGAGCUCUUUCUUGAUUCUAUGGG
Molecule: ribosomal RNA, 685 nt
Filed under: uncultured eukaryote
Lineage: Eukaryota
Description: bacterial SSU rRNA
Rfam family: Eukaryotic small subunit ribosomal RNA
Source: RNAcentral